AGAAGUGAGAAUGCCGGUGUGAGUAGCGAAAGACGGGUGAGAAUCCCGUCCACCGAUUGACUAAGGUUUCCAGAGGAAGGCUCGUCCGCUCUGGGUUAGUCGGGUCCUAAGCUGAGGCCGACAGGCGUAGGCGAUGGAUAACAGGUUGAUAUUCCUGUACCACCAUUAUUCGUUUUAAGCGAUGGGGGGACGCAGUAGGAUAGGCGAAGCGUGCUGUUGGAGUGCACGUCCAAGCAGUGAGAUUGAGUGUUAGGCAAAUCCGGCACUCUUAAGAUUGAGCUGUGAUGGGGAGAGGAACUUGUUCCUCGAGUCGUUGAUUUCACACUGCCGAGAAAAGCCUCUAGCUAGAAUAACGGUGCCCGUACCGCAAACCGACACAGGUAGUCAAGAUGAGAAUUCUAAGGUGAGCGAGCGAACUCUCGUUAAGGAACUCGGCAAAAUGACCCCGUAACUUCGGGAGAAGGGGUGCUCUUUGAGGUUCACGCUUCGAAGAGCCGCAGUGAAUAGGCCCAAGCGACUGUUUAUCAAAAACACAGGUCUCUGCUAAACCGUAAGGUGACGUAUAGGGGCUGACGCCUGCCCGGUGCUGGAAGGUUAAGAGGAGUGGUUAGCGCAAGCGAAGCUACGAAUCGAAGCCCCAGUAAACGGCGGCCGUAACUAUAACGGUCCUAAGGUAGCGAAAUUCCUUGUCGGGUAAGUUCCGACCCGCACGAAAGGCGUAACGAUUUGGGCACUGUCUCAACGAGAGACUCGGUGAAAUCAUAGUACCGGUGAAGAUGCCGGUUACCCGCGACAGGACGGAAAGACCCCGUGGAGCUUUACUGUAGCCUGAUAUUGAAAUUCGGUACAGUUUGUACAGGAUAGGUAGGAGCCUUAGAAGCGUGAGCGCUAGCUUACGUGGAGGCAUUGGUGGGAUACUACCCUAAUUGUAUUGGAUUUCUAACCCGCAGCACUUAUCGUGCUGGGAGACAGUGUCAGGCGGGCAGUUUGACUGGGGCGGUCGCCUCCUAAAGAGUAACGGAGGCGCUCAAAGGUUCCCUCAGAAUGGUUGGAAAUCAUUCAUAGAGUGUAAAGGCAUAAGGGAGCUUGACUGCGAGACCUACAAGUCGAGCAGGGUCGAAAGACGGACUUAGUGAUCCGGUGGUUCCGCAUGGAAGGGCCAUCGCUCAACGGAUAAAAGCUACCCCGGGGAUAACAGGCUUAUCUCCCCCAAGAGUUCACAUCGACGGGGAGGUUUGGCACCUCGAUGUCGGCUCAUCGCAUCCUGGGGCUGUAGUCGGUCCCAAGGGUUGGGCUGUUCGCCCAUUAAAGCGGUACGCGAGCUGGGUUCAGAACGUCGUGAGACAGUUCGGUCCCUAUCCGUCGUGGGCGUAGGAAAUUUGAGAGGAGCUGUCCUUAGUACGAGAGGACCGGGAUGGACAUACCUCUGGUGUACCAGUUGUCGUGCCAACGGCAUAGCUGGGUAGCUAUGUAUGGACGGGAUAAGUGCUGAAAGCAUCUAAGCAUGAAGCCCCCCUCGAGAUGAGAUUUCCCAACUUCGGUUAUAAG
RNAcentral lists this ribosomal RNA (1548 nucleotides) under Staphylococcus pseudintermedius. RNAcentral describes it as "partial 23S ribosomal RNA". It matches the Rfam family "Bacterial large subunit ribosomal RNA", at positions 1284 to 2832 of the family's 2925-position model. Lineage: Bacteria; Bacillati; Bacillota; Bacilli; Caryophanales; Staphylococcaceae. The record is from RNAcentral.